This 243-nucleotide ribosomal RNA is filed under the name uncultured fungus. RNAcentral's name for it is "partial small subunit ribosomal RNA". It matches the Rfam family "Eukaryotic small subunit ribosomal RNA", at positions 1326 to 1591 of the family's 1831-position model. Lineage: Eukaryota; Fungi. The record is from RNAcentral.
CGAUAACAACGAGACCUUGACCUGCUAAAUAGCCAGCCUGACUUUUGUUUGGGCGCCGGCUUCUUAGAGGGACUUUUGGCUCAAGCCAAUGGAAGUACGAGGCAAUAACAGGUCUGUGAUGCCCUUAGAUGUUCUGGGCCGCACGCGCGCUACACUGACAGAGCCAGCGAGUACAUCACCUUGGCCGAAAGGUCUGGGUAAUCUUGUUAAACUCUGUCGUGCUGGGGAUAGAGCAUUGCAAUC